Molecule: ribosomal RNA, 630 nt
Filed under: uncultured bacterium
Lineage: Bacteria
Description: bacterial SSU rRNA
Rfam family: Bacterial small subunit ribosomal RNA
Source: RNAcentral
CCUACGGGAGGCAGCAGUGGGGAAUUUUGGACAAUGGGCGCAAGCCUGAUCCAGCAAUGCCGCGUGAGUGAAGAAGGCCUUCGGGUUGUAAAGCUCUUUUGUCAGGGAAGAAACGGUGGGGGCUAAUAUCUCCCACUAAUGACGGUACCUGAAGAAUAAGCACCGGCUAACUACGUGCCAGCAGCCGCGGUAAUACGUAGGGUGCAAGCGUUAAUCGGAAUUACUGGGCGUAAAGCGUGCGCAGGCGGUUUUGUAAGUUUGUCGUGAAAUCCCCGGGCUCAACCUGGGAAUGGCGAUGAAGACUGCAAGGCUAGAAUCUGGCAGAGGGGGGUAGAAUUCCACGUGUAGCAGUGAAAUGCGUAGAGAUGUGGAGGAACACCGAUGGCGAAGGCAGCCCCCUGGGUCAAGAUUGACGCUCAUGCACGAAAGCGUGGGGAGCAAACAGGAUUAGAUACCCUGGUAGUCCACGCCCUAAACGAUGUCUACUAGUUGUCGGGUUUUAAUUAACUUGGUAACGCAGCUAACGCGUGAAGUAGACCGCCUGGGGGAGGUACGGUCGCGAGAAUAAACUACUUAAUUAGUAAGUUAGUUAGGCGNGNGAGNGCCGACGGACGACGACGAGGGAGGAGG